Molecule: long non-coding RNA, 344 nt
Organism: Ostrea edulis (European flat oyster)
Lineage: Eukaryota; Metazoa; Mollusca; Bivalvia; Ostreida; Ostreidae
Exons: 3
Source: RefSeq, a predicted model, not a curated record
AUAGUUUGGAGGGAUUAUCUUAUUCCAAGGAUAAGGUGGCAGGGGAGAGUUUCGUUGGUUCUGAAAUAUGUGGUUAUACUCCAACCCCUCCCUCUCCAAGCUACCAUACAGCAUUUAGGACAAUUGCUAAAGAAGAUGAGUCAUUAAAAAGACCCUCAAGUCCUACACCAGAAAACCAGGUUGACAGCAGUAGUACAUUUACGCCAGUUGUCAGUUAUUCGGCGGCAUUAGAUUCGAACUGGCCAACAGUAAAAUCAAGUUCUGAUGCAGGCAGAUUCAGUCACGUGAAAGACUCCAUUCUGAAUAAUCUGAGGUGAUGAAUAUUGCAAAACUUUUUAUGUAAU